AGAGAGAAAAAAAAAAGAAAGAAAUGAAAUAGUGCAAAAUUUUUCUAAAUGGUGCAAUACUGGACUAAAGAGUGUAAAGUCUAUUUUAAAAGAGUGUAAUUUUUAUAUGAAAUAGUGCAAUUUUCAUUAAAACAGUGCAAAUUUUUUUAAAACAGUGUAAUUUUUUUUAAGAGUGCAAUUUUAUCAUUUUCUUUCUUCUCCUAUAUGUUUUGAUCUUUUCUGUAGGAAAAAAAUAAUUUUUUUUUAUUUUUAUUCUUUUCUAUAAUUUUUUUUUGUCACCACAUCUCCCUUACUUUCUAUCGCAACCAUCGCGACGUCGUCGGAGGCGAUCUCGCCGCCUUCGACGACGUCUCGGCGUUCCGACGCGCGGUGGAGGAAAAGAGCCUGCGUCUUGACGUCACCGUGCCCUAGUGGAGAAGAAUGGUGGCGACGCAACCUCAGCAAGGUCGGAGGCGAUGAGGGCUGGAGUGUAAGGGCGAGGGCGUGCGGGGCGGAGGCGAGGCGGAGGCGAGACGGACUGUUUCCACCUCCGCCUCCGCUACCUUCUUCGGAGAGAGGAAAAAGAGGAGAGAGAAAAAGUAAUAAGGGUAUUUUGGUCAGUUAGCUAAAAUUUCGGUCCGAAUCUGCAAAAUCCAAAAAAGUGGUCCACUUUUGCAAAAGCCCAAAAUUAGUGGAUUUUUUAUGCAAAUUGGCCAUAAAAAUACUAUAAAAUUUAUCUAAAUUAUUAUAUACUAUUUUUAUUUAAUAUAUGUUUGAUAUUAUAUUUAAAUUUAAAUUUUAAAAUUUAAAUUUAAUAUAAUAUAUUUGAAAUAUGAUAAAAAGAAAUAAUUAUUUCGUUUUCAAAUUUUCGAAUUCGAAUUCAAAUUUUGAAUUUGAUAGUCAGAUUUGGAUUGGGAUUUUUAAAAAUCCGCUCCAAAUCUAACCCAUUGACAUUCCUAUAGAGAAACCUGAGGGCUUGAAACAAAAGUUGGUAGGGAAAAUGCCAGCAUAGGAAUGUCAAUUAAUGAGGUUCAAAGCGAAUUUUUCAAAAUUUAAAUUCAAAUCCACACGAAAUCUGAAUCCGACGAAUUUUAAAAAUUUUAUAUUCAAAUUUGAACUCGACCAAAAAACUGAACCGAAAAACACGAAUCCGAAAUAAUUAUUUAUCUUUACCAUAUAUAAUAACAUAUUAUAUUAAAAUUUAAAAUUUUAAAAUACAAAUGCAAAUAUAAUAUUCAACAUUCAUAUAUACUAUUAUACAACGAAAAACCAAUUUAGGUCCGGGUUAGGUCGGGAUUGGGUCAAGUAAAGACAAAAUUCAAAUCCACAUUCAAAAUCGUCAAAUUUUUAAUUUUUAUAUUCAUAUCGGUAACCAUAUCGGUUGAACAUUAUAUAAAUCCGUCAAAUUCGAAUUCGGAUUCAAAAAAAAUUUUAAGUUUCCACAU
RNAcentral lists this long non-coding RNA (1424 nucleotides) under Ananas comosus (pineapple). RNAcentral's name for it is "long non-coding RNA (ACOM_LNC016269)". The record is from RNAcentral. Lineage: Eukaryota; Viridiplantae; Streptophyta; Magnoliopsida; Poales; Bromeliaceae.